This is a long non-coding RNA of Alosa sapidissima (American shad), 791 nucleotides long. RefSeq lists it as uncharacterized. The record is from RefSeq and is a predicted model, not a curated record. The transcript has 5 exons. NCBI's taxonomy places the organism in Eukaryota, Metazoa, Chordata, Actinopteri, Clupeiformes, Clupeidae.
AGGCCGAUGCCCGAGGCACCACAAGAAACACUGUUGGUAGAGCGCCAAAUUUCGGAGUGCAGGGGACAAGCCGAGUGUGUUUUGUCCUCUUUAACAACAACACCAAUAUGGCAAUGACUAACAUGGGCCCUUGAGGGAAGAAGAAGAACACUGAGGAAUAUUUGGAGGCGCACUUUGGAACCCAGGUAGGGUUUGGAGGUUCAGAUGGAGGGCACGAGUAUUGACAUACAUACCUUGGUGCCUGUGGACAACACCCACCUGUUCUGGUGUCUUAUACAGAAAGGAAUGCAGUGCUUUUCUCACACGCAACUUGUUAUACUACAUGAAACGGUGGUCUGAUGGGGCAAAAGAUGUACAUAAUGGACUUCAGACUAAUAUAAGAGGAGGACUUUAUGAGGGAACAGUCACCAGACUGACUUUGUGAAAAGCCAACAUCAGGUAGGGAUCGAAACCCAUGACAUUGCUGUAUGUGCUGUGCAUGUACAUGUGAAAAUAAUAUUGCUUGUGGCAUGGCGGUUCAGACAUAAACACAUGGCUUCAGUCUGCAGUAUUGACAUGACUUCAUGAGCAACCAGUGAUAUAUUUAUUAUGUGUGGCCCUGUUAGAGUAUUACUCCUGGCAACAUAAUCAAACCCUUAAGCUUGGGUUUGUUGUACCAACAUUUUACAGUGCUCUUGUAAGGCAGCAGAUAGAGCAGUGUUUUUCAACCUUUUUUGAGCCAUGGUAUAUUUUUUACAUUAACAAAAUCCUGCGGCACACCACCAACCAAAAUGUAACAAAAUUACACACUG